AGCGGAUGAGUUGUGGAUAGGGGUGAAAUGCCAAUCGAACUCGGAGCUAGCUGGUUCUCCCCGAAAUGUGUUUAGGCGCAGCGGUUAGUUGUAUAAAUUAGGGGUAAAGCACUGUUUCGAUACGGGCCAGUAAUUCGGUACUAAAUCGAGGCAAACUAUGAAUACUAUAUAAAAGACUAACCAGUAAGACUAUGGGGGAUAAGCUCCAUAGUCAAGAGGGAAACAGCCCAGACCACCAGUUAAGGCCCCUAAAUAAUUACUAAGUGAUAAAGGAAGUGAAAAGAUUUUGACAGUCAGGAGGUUUGCUUAGAAGCAGCAAUCCUUUAAAGAGUGCGUAAUAGCUUACUGAUCUAGUAAUUUUGCGCCGAAAAUGAACGGGGCUAAGUAAUUUGCCGAAACUGUGGGAUAUUUUAAUAUAUCGGUAGGGGAGCGUUCUAUUUUAGGUUGAAGUAUUAACGUAAGUGGAUAUGGACAAAAUAGAAGUGAGAAUGUCGGCUUGAGUAGCGAAAACAUUGGUGAGAAUCCAAUGCCCCGUAAACCUAAGGUUUCCUCUGCUAGGUUCGUCCUCGGAGGGUAAGUCAGGACCUAAGGCGAGGUUGAAAAGCGUAGUCGAUGGAUAAUGAGUUAAUAUUCUUAUACUAUCAUUUGUUGGCAACAGGGGACGAAGGUUGCUAAAUUAGCCGAAUUUUGGUUAUCGGUUCAAACAUACAAGGCUAUGAGAAGUGGAGAAAACACUUUGAGCGUAGGUGUGAGUACGAUAUUAAUUUAUAAAUUAAUAAGUAAUUAAUGCUAAACUUCCAAGAAAAGCCUGCACUGUCAUAAACAAAUGAUACCUGUACUAUAAACUGACACAAGUGGGUGAGUAAAGUAUACUAAGGGGCGCGAGAUAACUCUCCCUAAGGAACUCGGCAAAAUAACUCCGUAACUUCGGGAGAAGGAGUACCUUUUAUUUUAAAGGUUACAAUAACAAGGUCCAAACGACUGUUUACCAAAAACACAGGUCUCCGCUAAAUUUAAAAAUAAUGUAUGGGGGCUGACGCCUGCCCAGUGCCAGAAGGUUAAGGAAACAUGUUAAUUAAAUUUUAAUAAAGCUAGUAACUGAAGCCCUGGUGAACGGCGGCCGUAACUAUAACGGUCCUAAGGUAGCGAAAUUCCUUGUCGGGUAAGUUCCGACCUGCACGAAAGGCGUAACGAUUU
This 1197-nucleotide ribosomal RNA is filed under the name Bacteroidota bacterium. Its description in RNAcentral is "bacterial LSU rRNA". It matches the Rfam family "Bacterial large subunit ribosomal RNA", at positions 799 to 2010 of the family's 2925-position model. Lineage: Bacteria; Pseudomonadati; Bacteroidota. The record is from RNAcentral.